UACGGAGGGGGCUAGCGUUGUUCGGAAUCACUGGGCGUAAAGGGCGCGUAGGCGGCCGUUCAAGUCGGGAGUGAAAUCUCUGGGCUUAACCCAGAGGCUGCUUCCGAAACUGCUGUGCUUGAGUGUGGGAGAGGCGCGUGGAAUUGCAGGUGUAGCGGUGAAAUGCGUAGAUAUCUGCAGGAACACCCGUGGCGAAAGCGGCGCGCUGGACCACUACUGACGCUGAGGAACGAAAGCUAGGGGAGCAAACAGG
RNAcentral lists this ribosomal RNA (253 nucleotides) under uncultured bacterium. Its description in RNAcentral is "partial 16S ribosomal RNA". It matches the Rfam family "Bacterial small subunit ribosomal RNA", at positions 524 to 776 of the family's 1533-position model. The record is from RNAcentral.